UCUCCAGUAUUUCCGAACACAUCCAAGGGAUGAAGAAAACAAAGAUUGAUAAAACAUUAAAAGAAUAAUUGCGACCAUAAACGUGCAGGUAAUUUACAAGAUUAAAAUUAAUUUGGUUGCUGGUGGUUCCGAACAAAUAUGUACAGCUCUUUUAUCCCAGGUACAUCUUUUUGAAGACUGAGAAAUUAGAGUUUUAUCCCUGAGGAUAAAGAAAGUGUUUUGGAAAGUAUUUUAUAUCGCAAAAGUGCAAAUCCUCAUACUGAUAAUCUGAAGGGCCUGUACAGUGUAGCAGACCUUGGAAACAAACCCAGUCAGCUUGAAGAGUCUCAAAAGGACCCUACCAGUGAGAAAUCAAGAUGGCAGUCCACUAUGGGGAAUUGAGGAAAAUGGAUUAAUACAAGAGUGCUGUGAUAAAAUACCACCAAGACAGGGUUCUUUUAACAUGGAUUCAGUGAAAUGAAUGAAACCUAUCUUAACCAACAAAUGGACAGUGGAUUUGACUUUGUAAAGACUUGUAUCAUUUAAACUAGUUUAUUUUUGACAUUUGGAGAAGAUGGCACGUUAACACAGAUGGUAGCGUGGAUACCUGAAUUUUUUUUUUGCAUAUUUUGAUUUGUUUGAAUAUGACCUCAUGGAAUGUUAACUUUAAUAAAAUUUCUAACAUUUAAAAAAAUUUCAGUUUGGGCCUUGUUCUUUUUCAAGUGGAAGUUUCAUUAAAUAUUCAAUUAUCACCUUAAUAACAAUUUGGUUCUUACAGUUGCCCAGCAGUAUAUUCAGUAAAACUGGUAACAUGGAAAUGAUGUGGUGGAAUAUGUUUUACUUGCUUGAUAAAGAUUUGUAUUUUCUCACAAAGCUAUGGGAAUUUAUCUGUGCUUUGGCAUGGCUAUUAGUUAAAACAUGAUUUUUUUCAGGUUUGUUUGAAGUUUUGAAUGCAU
Molecule: long non-coding RNA, 935 nt
Filed under: Heterocephalus glaber (naked mole-rat)
Lineage: Eukaryota; Metazoa; Chordata; Mammalia; Rodentia; Bathyergidae
Description: lncRNA (ENSHGLG00000032018.1)
Source: RNAcentral